Molecule: long non-coding RNA, 948 nt
Organism: Eptesicus fuscus (big brown bat)
Lineage: Eukaryota; Metazoa; Chordata; Mammalia; Chiroptera; Vespertilionidae
Exons: 3
Source: RefSeq, a predicted model, not a curated record
ACGGAGCCAGGAGCGGAAGAGGCCCAGGCAGCUGGGUGUAGCGCGGGGACUGUUUGGCGGUGAGUCUGGGGUCGGCUGGAGCUCAAAGCCCCAGACCGCGGGGGACGUCCAGAGACGCUAAGGACUUGGUGUUCCGGGGCGGUGGCCGCUGACGGCUGGUUCGCCGACGGCUGGCUCCCUGCCUGCGGCCGCGGACACCCCCGCCUCGCCGCCUGAAGAUCGGCCCUGAGAGGCCUGUAGGCCUAGGCGCGGCCCGCGGAGCCCGACGCGCUGCUGCCGCCCGUGCUGCUUUCUGCAAAUUUACUUUCUGCAACAUCCAGUGAAAGAAACAAACUAUAUAGAAUCUGCCCUUUUUCAUAUGAGGUUGGAAAAAACAUUCAUCUCAGUCCUGAUUAUACAGUAAACUCUGUGACCCCAAUAAGGCAAGUCUCUUCAUUGAUAAUGAGCUUGAAUGAAAUAAUUUCUUAGAUCCAUUCCACCUGUAGCAUUCUAUGAUUCUAUGAGCUAAAAUGUUGGAAAAUAACCACCCAAGUCAUUUUAUUCCCAAAACCACUUUUCUCAUCUAAAUGCAGAGGAAUUGGCAACAUUAGAUUAUGGGUUCUUUCACAUCAGUCUGUGAUUUUCUGUUUUGUUAAUUGUUCCAUGGCUUUGCCCUAGACCUCCAUCCCUUCGUUGGUUGGAAAUGCCUCAUUCUAAGCCACGCUCUCUCUGUUUCAGAUGUACAUAUCUAAGACCAUACUUAGGUGUCUCCAACUAAAUGUCCCAUAAGAACCUCAUCUUUCAUCUUAUGCAAAAGUGAAGUCUGGGAAGCUGCAUUUUCAAUAUAUGCCCCAGUGAAUUUUAUGCAUUCUAAAUGUUAAGAACCACUGCCCUGGAGAGAAAGUAGAAAACAACUCCAUAUUCAUUCUCUCUUUUAAUCUCCAAUAAACCAUCUAAGAUAUUUGGACU